Long non-coding RNA from Astatotilapia calliptera (eastern happy), 2175 nucleotides. Lineage: Eukaryota; Metazoa; Chordata; Actinopteri; Cichliformes; Cichlidae. The record is from Ensembl.
UUCAAAACCAACACAAAAAAACUACCUGAAGAUGCUAAAGUGGAAUGGAAGGACAGAUACAACAACAAAGUCCAUGUGCACCAGAAUGGUUGUGAUAGGACUGAAGACCAAAGCCCAGCAUACAGGGAGCGAACAGAGAUGAAGCGCAACCCGCUAAGAACUGGAGACCUCAGUCUCAUCCUGAAAUACCCCACAAACAAGGACAGAGGCACCUACACCUGCACCGUCUACAACAAGGAGGGAGAAAAAAUCCUGAAUGACACACACGACACACACGUGGAGCUUAAAGUCAGAGUCCCCCAGGUGGUGGUUGAUUCAGAUGUGGAGUUUGUCCAGCUGCCCUGCAAAACUACAAUAAACCUCCCUAAAGAUGCUAAAGUGGAGUGGAAGGAUAGAAAAAUCAGGAAGGUCCAUGUAUAUCCAGAAGUGUCUGACCAGCCUGAAGAACAGGACCAGCGUUACAGAGACCGAACACAGAUGAAUGAAGACCUGCUGAAAACUGGAGACCUCAGUCUGAAACUGAAAUACCCCACAGACUGGGACACAAACAUCUACACCUGCACCGUCUACAGCAAUUCCUGCAUCCUAAAGGAGAAACAAGAAGUGGAACUUAAAGUCAGAGUCUGUGAGGUGGAGCUGAAGAUGGGGGAGUCUGUCCAGCUGCCCUUCAAAACCACAGAAAAACUGCCUGAAGAUGCUAAAGUGGAGUGGAAGGACAGAUACAACAGGAAGGUUCAUGUGUAUCCAGAAGUGUCUGACCAGCCUAAAGAACAGGAUAAGGAUUAUAGAGAUCAAACAGAGAUGGAUGACUGCCCGCUGAAAACUGGAGAGCUCAGUCUGACUCUGAAAAACCCCACAGAGGGAAACAUUGGGAGAUACACAUGUUGCGUCUGGAGAAAGGGAGACAAAAUCAGAUCGAAAACAGUGAUGUUAAAAGUUCCUCGGGUGCCAUUGUCUAGAUAUUGAACUAUGGUUUUAUUAUAUUAAUUUCCUCUUUAUGAUAAGAUAGAAUGAACUUUAAUGUCCCCAUGUUUAAAUUUGGUGUGGACUCUAGGAUUGUCACAGAAUCUGCCUUUACAAAGUCAAUAGACAUUAAAAGAAAAGAGAAAUAGAUAACAGAUAAAUAAAAAAUAUAUAUAUAUAUGUAUAAAUUUAAAUAAAACCCAGAAGCUGUGCCUUGAUCAUCACAGAAACCUGGCUUCACCCAGGAGUACCUGAAGCUAGCGUGCAGCUAGCAGGCUGCACUGUGCUCCGCUGGGACAGGACAAAGGCAAGAGUGGGUGGGGGGAUUGUAUGCUCCCUCUAGGUGCGAUCUUUCAGAAAUACAAUAUCGCUUUUCACUGUUAUGCCGAUGAUAUAUAGAUCUACUUUGAACUAACUGAUGAUCUGUCUCUGCACUGUUUGUGUGAGGUCAAAGAAUGGCUCUUAGGAAACUCUCUUAUCUUAAAUGAUAAGAAAACGGAAGUCGUGGUAUUUGAUAGUAAUAUCCCUCGCGGCCAACUUCGUAAUGCCUUUGGUUCCCUUGCCAGUUCCAUCUCUGACACUGUUAGCAAUUUGGGCGUGUUGCUGGAUAGCUCUUAAAUUUGAUAAACAAGUGUCCACUGUAUAUAGAUCUAGCUUCUACCAACUGCAUUUCAUUUCUAAGGCUAGGCAUGCCCUCUGACUGGAACUGGGAGGUUUGCCUCUAUUAUCCCUGUUCUUGCUGAUCUGCACUGCACCCAUUAAAUACCGUAUCCAAUUUAAAAUAUUGUUGCUUACUUUUAAAAUUAUCAACAACACAGCGCCGAGCUACCUUAUCGAAUUCCUUAGAUUGUCCUUGUUAGAGCACUAAGAUCAUCUACUCAGGUAAUCUUGGUGCAGCCAAGAUUGUAGCAUCCAGUCGAACUGAGAAGGCCAGAACUGAUGGUUGUUGAAUGACCUUUAUUAUUCCUUGCCGUGUAUCAGACAACGAACCAACGUAAGAGCUAGACAAACAAAUAAAACAAUUACCAUAUUAUUCAUGUAACACUAUUUUAACCGCUCAUUACGCUGGUCUAACAGUUUUCUAUUAAACUAUAUAAUACAUAUUAUGCAUUUCAGAUUGCUCAAAUUAAAUCAUAUACAUUACAAACCUUGUUCCCCUGUCGACUGUAGCUAGAACCAUUCGUUUUUGUACAAUUUAACCAUAUUCUUCCC